Molecule: ribosomal RNA, 99 nt
Filed under: Enterobacter cloacae
Lineage: Bacteria; Pseudomonadati; Pseudomonadota; Gammaproteobacteria; Enterobacterales; Enterobacteriaceae
Source: RNAcentral
GGUGGCACCACCUGACCCCAUGCCGAACUCAGAAGUGAAACGCCGUAGCGCCGAUGGUAGUGUGGGGUCUCCCCAUGCGAGAGUAGGGAACUGCCAGGC